GUUUUAAAGGUAAUUGAUAUUUGAUUAAUAAAAUAUUUUUUUGUUUAUGUAUUUAUUUUAGAUUUAAUUUAUUUAUGUUAUAGUUGAUUUUUACUGUGAGGGUGAAUUAUUUUUUGAUUUAUAUUGUUUUAAGUUAAUUUUAUUUGUUGUACCUUUUGUAUCAGGGUUUAUUUAAAAUAAAGUAUUUAUUUGUCUUUCUCGAUAUUGAAAGAGUUAAGUAGUUAUUCCUUUCACUGUGGUAUAACUGUUGUUAAUAAUUACUUGGUAAUGAAAUGUUAUUCGUUUUCAAUUUUAUCUAGUUUUCUAAGAAAUAAAUUUAAUUUAUUUCUAUCUUUUAGAUGUAUUUAAUGAUUUAAUUUGUUUUUAGUUGGUUUUUAUAUUUUAGGGGAUAAGCUCUUUAGUGGAUUUGCUAUAAUUUUGUUUUUAUAAUUUAUUUUAUGGAUUUAGAGGUAAUUAUUAAUUGAAGGAUGUUUAAAUUUUAUUUAUAUAGGUUGGGAUUUAUUUUUGUUAUUUUAGCUUUAUUAUUAGAAUUUUUGAUUUAAUUAUUUAUUUAUUGUAAUAAUGAUUGAAUUAGUAUAUUUAUAUAUUUGAUAAUUUGUUUAUGUUUAAAUAUUUAUGUUUUUAUAAGGAACUAGACAUAAAAUAAAGUAUCCGCCUGUUUAACAAAAACAUCUUUUCUUGUAUUUUAUUUGAAAUAUGGCCUGCUCACUGAUAAAGAUUUAUUAUUUAAGAGCCGCGGUAUUUUGACCGUGCAAAGGUAGCAUAAUCAUUAGUCUUUUUAUUGAAGGCUGGAAUGAAUGGUUUGACGAGAUAUAAUUUGUCUUAUUUAAAUUGUUAUUUGAAUUUAAUUAUUUAGUUAGAAAGCUUAAAAUUUUUUUGUGGGACGAGAAGACCCUAUAGAGUUUUAUAAUUUUAUUAUUAUUUAUGGUUUGUUAAUUAUUUAUAUUUUGUUAUUAUUUGAUUGGGGUGAUAGGGGUAUAAUAUAUGAAACUUCUUUUUGUUGUUAAAUGUUUAUUGAUAGUAUAAUGAUCCACUUAUAUUUGUGAUUAUAAGUAUAAAUUACCUUAGGGAUAACAGCGUAAUCUUUUCUGAAAGUUCUUAUUGAAGAUAAGGGUUGCGACCUCGAUGUUGGAUUAAGAAGAAUAUUUGGUGUAGAAUUUAAAUUUAUUAGGUCUGUUCGACCUUUAAAAUCUUACAUGAUCUGAGUUCAAACCGGCGUGAGCCAGGUUGGUUUCUAUCUAUAAGUUUUUAUUACACUUUAGUACGAGAGGACCAAGUGUUGGUAAUAAUUGUUUAUAUAUUGAUUUUCAAUAAUUUGUUACUAUUUUGGCAGAUAAGUGCAAUGGAUUUAGAAUCUU
Molecule: ribosomal RNA, 1358 nt
Filed under: Megaloblatta sp. ECMD1
Lineage: Eukaryota; Metazoa; Arthropoda; Insecta; Blattodea; Nyctiboridae
Description: 16S ribosomal RNA
Rfam family: Archaeal large subunit ribosomal RNA (bases 1070-1229)
Source: RNAcentral